RNAcentral lists this ribosomal RNA (543 nucleotides) under uncultured bacterium. RNAcentral describes it as "partial 16S ribosomal RNA". It matches the Rfam family "Bacterial small subunit ribosomal RNA", at positions 355 to 892 of the family's 1533-position model. The record is from RNAcentral.
UGGGGAAUUUUGGACAAUGGGCGAAAGCCUGAUCCAGCAAUGCCGCGUGUGUGAAGAAGGCCUUCGGGUUGUAAAGCACUUUUGUCCGGAAAGAAAUGGCUCUGGUUAAUACCUGGGGUCGAUGACGGUACCGGAAGAAUAAGGACCGGCUAACUACGUGCCAGCAGCCGCGGUAAUACGUAGGGUCCAAGCGUUAAUCGGAAUUACUGGGCGUAAAGCGUGCGCAGGCGGUUGUGCAAGACCGAUGUGAAAUCCCGAGCUUAACUUGGGAAUUGCAUUGGUGACUGCACGGCUAGAGUGUGUCAGAGGGGGGUAGAAUUCCACGUGUAGCAGUGAAAUGCGUAGAGAUGUGGAGGAAUACCGAUGGCGAAGGCAGCCCCCUGGGAUAACACUGACGCUCAUGCACGAAAGCGUGGGGAGCAAACAGGAUUAGAUACCCUGGUAGUCCACGCCCUAAACGAUGUCAACUAGUUGUUGGGGAUUCAUUUCCUUAGUAACGUAGCUAACGCGUGAAGUUGACCGCCUGGGGAGUACGGUCGCAAG